Molecule: ribosomal RNA, 439 nt
Filed under: uncultured bacterium
Lineage: Bacteria
Description: partial 16S ribosomal RNA
Rfam family: Bacterial small subunit ribosomal RNA
Source: RNAcentral
CUACGGGAGGCAGCAGUGAGGAAUAUUGCACAAUGGGGGGAACCCUGAUGCAGCAACGCCGCGUGGAGGAUGACGCAUUUCGGUGUGUAAACUCCUUUUAUAUGUCAAGAAAAUGACGGUAGCAUAUGAAUAAGCGCCGGCUAACUCCGUGCCAGCAGCCGCGGUAAUACGGAGGGCGCAAGCGUUACUCGGAAUCACUGGGCGUAAAGGACGCGUAGGCGGGUUGAAAAGUCAGGUGUGAAAGCCUACAGCUUAACUGUAGAACUGCACUUGAAACUCUCAACCUAGAGUAUGGGAGGGGCAGAUGGAAUUAGUGGUGUAGGGGUAAAAUCCGUAGAUAUCACUAGGAAUACCUAAAGCGAAGGCGAUCUGCUGGAACAUUACUGACGCUAAGGCGUGAAAGCGUGGGGAGCAAACAGGAUUAGAUACCCUAGUAGUC